GCCGCUCUGUGGAUGCUUCCAUCUGUAUCCAUUGCCGGCACCUGGUGAGGUCCAAGUCUCACCUCCUCCAGAAGGCCUCCCAGGACUGCUGGCCCCAGACACAGAACUCCCAAGGGAAGGCUCUUCCACUAAAAGUCCAGCUGCAGCGAUAAUGAUGAGUUUGGAGAGGGCUGCAGACCCUGAGGCAGGGGUUGGUGCAGGGGCUGGACCUGAAACUGGGUUCACACAACAAGCUCGGACUCCUCUUAACACUCCUGAUUGGUGACAUUAUGGGGUCUUGGAUGCCUCCUCCUCUCUGUCCCUCGUACUGCCCCUGCCACCUGGGACUCCACCAAGUUCCUUCUCCACCAGCCAUGAGGAGAGCCUGCCCAGGGGCCAGCACUCUCUCCCUGAGCCUUAGAACCAGGAGGAUUCUCACUGCUUCUAUGUCACAAUUCCGUCUCUAGAGCCUUUGAGGUCACUCCUGACGCUGACAUGGCUGUGAAGAGCUGGGUGCCAGGCAUUACUGCCUCCAAGGUUGCUUUGCGAGGAAUAGGUGGGGCAUCAGGAAGAAGCCAGUUGCAGGCAAGGCCUCUGCUGAUGCUGCUUUUUUCUCCUGUACCCAUCCAUGGGAGGGAGCUGUGAGAUGGCCUGGCAGAACCCGCUCUUGGACCCCACAGAAUGAGAGGCUCACCCUGCACAGGAACAUCCUGGGGCAGCAGGCUCAGCACAUUUUAAAUUUUGAGUAUGAACAAAGUAAACUUCAGGGUU
This 750-nucleotide long non-coding RNA is filed under the name Homo sapiens (human). Its description in RNAcentral is "HSALNT0226678". The record is from RNAcentral. Lineage: Eukaryota; Metazoa; Chordata; Mammalia; Primates; Hominidae.